Ictidomys tridecemlineatus (thirteen-lined ground squirrel) is the source of this 3750-nucleotide non-coding RNA. The record is from RefSeq and is a predicted model, not a curated record. NCBI's taxonomy places the organism in Eukaryota, Metazoa, Chordata, Mammalia, Rodentia, Sciuridae.
CCACGCUGGGCCAGCGCUCUACCACUGAGCCCCAGCCCCAGCCCUGCCUGGUCAUUUUUAAUUGUCUGCUAGGUGUUAUAAAUUUUAUGUGGUUGAGUCCAGCACAUCUAUUCAAAGCUCCCAUUUUAUAUACCCUUGAACUUUGAUGAGGUUAAGUUUCCUAGAAACAGUCAGAUACUUUCAAGGUUUGUACUUAGGCUUGGGUAGGCAAGAUGGGAGCACCCUUGACAACUAGGACUAAUUUUUUUCUUCUAGGCAACACCCUUCUGAAAACUGCACCAGAUAAUGUCCUAUGUAUUGAGGUUGUUCCAUUCAGCUGGUGGUAACACAGACUCUUCCUAAUCCUUUAUAAACUCCGGGGAUUAUUCUGCCUGCUCCUUUUGGCCCCAUUUUCCCUGAAUCACAUAAAUACACAACUCAGUGGUCAGCUCAAGAUCUAGAAAGACCUCUGAGGAUCUUGAAAGUGCUCUCCAUGGAGCUCUCUUCUCUCUGAUGCUUUGUGAACUCCAAUCACACGCCCCCCCUUGAACUCCCAACUGUGUUUCUUCAUCCCGAGGGGGACAGAGGAGCUUUGCCGGGACAUGAAAUGUCCCCACAAAAAUUCAUGUGUUGGAGACUUGGUCCCCAGUGCAGAGGUGGAGCUUUUGGAAAGUAAAUGGGUCACAAAGACUCUGGAUUCUCCGUGGAUGAAUCCAUUGGUAGCUGAAUGAAUUACUGCAAGGCAAUGGAACCUAGGAAGUGGAACCUGAUGAAGGAAAGCAGUUACUGGAGAUUUGCCCUGAAGGGUAUUUCUUAUCCUCAGUCCCCUUCUCUGUAUGUGUGUGUGUGUGAGUGUGUGUGUGUGUGUGUGUGUGUGUGUGUCUGUCUGUCUGUCUGUCUGUCUGUAGUUCGAUUGGUUCUUCUGCCUGUUUCCCUCUCUCCCUCUCUUUUCCUGGCUCCCAUGACCUGAGCAGCAUACUUCUGCCACGAUGUCCCACCCCACUCAGGCCCAAAGCCUAGAGCCAAAUGACCAUGGACUGAGAACUCUGAAACUGUGAGCCAAAAUGAACCUUUCCUACCCUAAGUUGCUUUUCUCAGGUAUUUGUCACAGCAAAGAAAAGCUGUCUGAUACACCAGGGCUUCCCCUUCCUGGCUUGAAAACCCUCUUCCAGUGAGCUGAGCCGAUCGAGGCUUCUCUUCAUUACAUUUCCCUCUCAGGAAUAACUCUUCUGUGCUGUCUACUGUCUAAGGCAUAAAACACAUUUUUAAAAUACCUAUUUUUUGUCUAGUUUUUUGUUGUUUAAGGCAUGAAGAUAAAACCAGUCCCUGUUUCUCCAUCUGACCACCUCCUUAGGCCUAAGAUUUUUAUGAGAAUACAUUCAUGCUUUUGUUUAAAACCAGUGAGGUUGGACGAAACUGGGAGAGCACAACUUGUAAAAAAUGAGACUGAAUUUCUUCCCAACCGGAACCUGAGGCAACUGGUACAAAUUAUUCAAACUCUCCAUGAAAAAAGAAUUUUUUUUUCCAGGCUGGGGAAGGAACUCAGGACUACAAGAAUGCUAGGCAAGUGCUCUACCACUGAGCCACACCUGCUGCCCAUGAAGAUUUUUUUUUUUUUACUGAAAAGACACACCAGCAUACCUAAAAAAAAUUAUUCAAGCACAUCGUUACAGAAAAUGCAAUACAAUUGAGCCUAAGACAAAGUCAGUCAUUUUUGCAAAUACUGCCCAGAAAGAAUCAGGCAUGGGUACUGUCAGCAUGCCCUGGACUGUAAGGUGCCUCUUUGUGGAUGAGGAUGUUACAUGUACUCUUCCUGUACAUCUGAGCAAAACUCCACUCAGCUGCAUGAAGAGCUUUCCUAUGAAGGAAACUGCUAUCCAUCUCUCAUAAUCAGAAAAAUAUAGUGAAGAAAGAAAACCUAAAAGCAAUGGCAUUUUUAUCCAUGAGUACAUACUUAUCACUGGUGAAAAUGUAGGCAACCACAUCCUUCAAAGCUGCUAGCAGAACUCCCAGUGCAAGUGCACAAACACCUGGAAAGCAUGGAAGAAGCCAAGAGGAAGUGAUAUAAAAUGUGAUUAAAUCCUAGGGCUGACAUCUCAUGAAAGACUCUCAUCAAUGAUUUGCAAGGCUGAAGCAGGAGGGUUGGCUGAGCCCACAAGUUUGAGGUAACAUAGCAAGACCCCAACUCAAAAAAAAGUUUAUAAGGUUAAUAACGUGUCGUUUUGCUGUCUAUGGAAAGGACAACUAAAAUCUGGCAAUUCUGACUUCUUUUUCUAAGGGAGACUGAUCCUCAAUAAGAUUUCAACUGUGGUAGUUUGAAUGGCUUUGUCCUCUUCAAAAUUCAUGUUGAAAUUUAAUCUCCAGUGAAACUGUGUUGGGGGGUGUGCUCUCUGGGAGGUGACUGGAUCAUGACAGCUGUGACCUGAUGAAUGGAUUAGGUCUCCUUGGGCCCCUUUUCACCCUUCCAUCCCUUCUGCCACAGGAGAAUGAAAAUCAAGUCUCCAGCUUGGAAGCAAAAAGCAUCCUUCACUAGACAGCCAAACCGGCUGGAGUCUUGACCUUGGACUUCCCAGUCUGCAUCCUCUUACAGCAGCACAAACAGGCCAGGCCAUCAGUGCAUCAGAAUCUUUUACAACUGCUGAGAUUUUAGGACACUGGAAUAGCCAGAAGAGGUGAUGGACCAGGAACAUGGAGAGUUAGUCACUUGGACUAUACUAUCCUCAUAAAGUCUGACUGCAUAUGAUAAUUGCCUUGGAAAUUAUUUCAGUCGAACCAAGCAGAACAUUAUUUACUUGGCAUGUAGUAACAGAAAAUUAUAAUUGGAAGAUUGACUUAACUCAGUAAGUCAGAAAGAGCAUAGUUGAGUGUAUAUAUAUGACUCAAUUCGUUAAGAUAUUCUGAUACACUGACUUUCACUUAUCACACUAAAUUCCUUAAAGACACCAGGAGGUUAGAAGCGCGUUACUCACUCGCACACAACAGAACAGAGGUACAGGAGCACCGAGCCUGCUCAGCAUUCCCUGCUCCCAAAGCAUUGCCCACUCGGACACUGGCGGCCACACCAAAGCCAAAAGGCACCUAGGAAUUAACAAACAUAAAUCAUAAUUUUAAAAACCCCGAAAGUUCACACAUUAGCACACUAGGGUUCAUCUAGUCUCAGCAUUCUGGGUUCUAGAAAUAACUCUAUUUCAUCCCGUCUGUGUGGUGGGUGAUAAAGGCUCAGCCUCCUUGACACCUGAUUUCCUCACUGCAACUUCACAAAUACCGGACGAGGACCUCUUAAGGAAGCCGGAUUUGGGUGCAAAGCCCCUCCUUUACUGACACAACACCUUCAUCAUCAUGACUUAAUUUAAGCUAGCUAUGCUCUUAAAUGUAAGAUUCAACUUAAUAUAAAUCAUAAAUUAUUUAUAGAAAGGAAGGAACCAUGUGAAAAACCACUUAGGACAGAGCCUGGCAUACUAUAGGAACUCAACAAAUGUUGAUGAAAUCUGACCCCAUAGCCCCCCUUUGAUGGUGGGACAGAUGAAACACUCCAUGUCUGACCAUCCAGACAGCUAGAAUAUGCCUCUUCAAAGGCCAAAACUUUAUUGUAAUUAUCAGUUAUGGAAAUCUAAAGCUAUACAUUUCUUUGCUUCUCACAUAGACCAUUCAACCUUCAGUCAUUAUCUUGCAACAUAGUGUGCCUUCAGGCUGUAUGUGUAACAUGGGUUGUAUAGACAGCUUUGAUUUUGGCUCUCAUGUCUACUUUAAGAAUUUAUAUAUCAGCUUUAA